Molecule: long non-coding RNA, 879 nt
Organism: Puntigrus tetrazona (Sumatra barb)
Lineage: Eukaryota; Metazoa; Chordata; Actinopteri; Cypriniformes; Cyprinidae
Exons: 3
Source: RefSeq, a predicted model, not a curated record
GAGAGAAAUCAAGAGAGGGAGGGAAGAGGACCGGAGUCCGAAAGAGAGAGAAAGAGGGUCUUGUUUCGCUUUUGAGGAAGCCAGGAGUCGGAUCGCCGUUUCCUGCAGGACGACUCGACUGGAAAUGCUGGAAAAGCAGUCAUUCCCUUCAUCCCAUUUUUCUCUGCGCUUGGGACGUUGUUUUGCCGUGAGACAUAAAGGACUCAGAACUGGCAGCUCACUGGAAUUCUACACCGAACGACACAUGGAACAAACAACAGACAAAGCAAGUGCAUGAAAACAACAAUCAGAGCAAUUUGGAGGAGAACGCAAACAAGGUGCACAUCUGGAAUAAGGAAUAAACAGACUGACGUAACGAGGGAGAGCGAGAUGAGGAGGUGUUGAAGGGGAAAAUGAGCACAUGAACAUGGCAGGUGGAUGAAAAGGAGCAGGAGUAGAAGGAGAGAGGAAGAUAAAAAACAGCAGGAUCCUGGAAAACAGAGGGAGAAAACAGCUGGAAAGAGUCAAAGGUGGAAGAAUAUGUUGAGAAUCUUGAAAUGCGAUCAGUGGAAAUGUGAAAUUGCUGGUAGGCCCCAAGGCCAAAAUGUUUCACAGCAGGACCAUUUUAACAAGGGAAGAGCAUAUCCAAGUGCAUAUUCCAGAUACGAGUGGAAUUGAGAGUCUGACUCGAGUUAAAUCCUCAUGUUUGAAGUGUGCGCAUGGACACAGGAUAAAUUCCUAAGCACACAUGGACACUCCUCUGCCUUGACAAGGGAUAAACACCUAAUUCUGGAUUAAAACGCACCUGAGCAACUUAAACACAUGCAGAUAAACGCCUGGAAAUGAGCAGCUAAUUGACCUGGGAUCAACACAGACAAAAAAGGUCUGUGGAUUACUCCC